ACAAUAUUCGGACCGUCGGUCUACCGAGCAAUUUCACCGGCUCGGUGGAAGAUUUUGCCUUCGUCGU
This 67-nucleotide microRNA precursor is filed under the name Bombyx mori (domestic silkworm). RNAcentral describes it as "mir-2774 microRNA precursor family". It matches the Rfam family "mir-2774 microRNA precursor family". Lineage: Eukaryota; Metazoa; Arthropoda; Insecta; Lepidoptera; Bombycidae. The record is from Rfam by way of RNAcentral.